This 331-nucleotide ribosomal RNA is filed under the name uncultured eukaryote. RNAcentral's name for it is "partial 18S ribosomal RNA". It matches the Rfam family "Eukaryotic small subunit ribosomal RNA", at positions 1470 to 1796 of the family's 1831-position model. The record is from RNAcentral.
CCCUUAGGUGUCCUGGGCCGCACGCGCGCUACACUGAUGCAUGCAACGAGUUUCAUUUCUCCUGGGUCGAGAGGCCUGGGCAAUCUUGUUAACGUGCAUCGUGAUAGGGAUAGAUUAUUGAAAUUAUUAAUCUUGAACGAGGAAUUCCUAGUAAACGCAGAUCAUCAAUCUGCAUUGAUUACGUCCCUGCCCUUUGUACACACCGCCCGUCGCACCUACCGAUUGGAUGGUCCGGUGAAGCCUCGGGAUUGUGGUUCUUGCCGCUUUAUUGUGGCGUGACCGCGAGAACUUGUCUAAACCUUAUCAUCUAGAGGAAGGUGAAGUCGUAACA